GAAUCCACGGGAUUGAGUUUGUAAUGUGUAAAUCAGUCUCACUGUCGUGGAUUUGU
This 56-nucleotide microRNA precursor is filed under the name Panagrellus redivivus. RNAcentral describes it as "microRNA prd-mir-7962 precursor". The record is from miRBase by way of RNAcentral. Lineage: Eukaryota; Metazoa; Nematoda; Chromadorea; Rhabditida; Panagrolaimidae.